This 202-nucleotide long non-coding RNA is filed under the name Lathyrus oleraceus (garden pea). RNAcentral's name for it is "Pisum sativum (pea) long non-coding RNA (PSAT_LNC024321)". The record is from RNAcentral. Lineage: Eukaryota; Viridiplantae; Streptophyta; Magnoliopsida; Fabales; Fabaceae.
AAUUUCCCUAUUUUCCCGUUAUUUAUUAUUCAUGCCUAUUUUUAUUAUUUCCUAUGACAUUAUGCUUGCUUUAUUUUUCCUAAGAUCUCUGGACUCGUGAAUUUUUAUUAACUCUUCAUAUAUAUAUAUAUAAAUAUAUAAAAUAUGCAUUAUUAUUAACUCUCCAUUUUGUUUUAUUUUGUUUUAUUUUGUUUUAUUUUAC